AUGCCUCCUAGGGCAUCGACUGGUGUUGUUCAGGGCAGACGUAUCAGUGCACAAACAGUCCGUAGAAGACUCCGGUCUUUUAAUCUUCGUCCUAGACGUGCUUAUAGGGGACCGACACUGACACAACGACACAGACAAGAGCGGUUAAGAUGGUGUCAAGCUCGUUUACGAUGGAGACUCAAUAAUGAAUGGAGCAAUAUUUUGUUUUCUGAUGAGUCCAGAUUCACUCUCCAGCAUUCAGAUGGUCGAGCAAGAGUUUAUAGACGAUCAGGUGAACGAUUUGCAGAUUGUUGCGUCCAACAGCAUGACAGAUUUGGUGGUGGUAGUGUCAUGGUUUGGGGUGGCAUAUCUACGCGUAACCGGACUAAUCUCGUGAUAGUCAAUGGAACACUAAAUGCCCAACGCUAUAGGGAUGAAAUUCUGUCAACGGAAGUGGUUAAUUCAUUAACAGAUAUGGACCUGGAAUAACAUUUCAGCAUGACAAUGCCCGUCCCCACACUGCUCGUGUUUCAAAUGCCUACUUGCAGCAACAAAACAUCGAUGUGUUGCCAUGGCCAUCGAAAUCUCCAGACAUGAAUCCCAUCGAGCACAUAUGGGAUGAACUGAACCGCAGAGUUCGCUCAAAGGCAACGCCAACCUGUUACACUGCAAGAAUUGUCCCAAGCAUUACAACAGGAGUGGAACAACAUGCCUCAGGCUAA
This 701-nucleotide small RNA is filed under the name Mytilus galloprovincialis (Mediterranean mussel). Lineage: Eukaryota; Metazoa; Mollusca; Bivalvia; Mytilida; Mytilidae. The record is from RNAcentral.